RNAcentral lists this ribosomal RNA (478 nucleotides) under uncultured bacterium. RNAcentral describes it as "partial 16S ribosomal RNA". It matches the Rfam family "Bacterial small subunit ribosomal RNA", at positions 28 to 507 of the family's 1533-position model. The record is from RNAcentral.
GAUGGACGCUGGCGGCGUGCCUAACACAUGCAAGUCGAACGGAGUCCAGCCUUUAAGACCUUCGGGUCAAAGAGGGGAAGACUGAGUGGCGGACGGGUGAGUAACACGUGGGCAACCUGGCUCAUAGAGGGGGAUAACAGAGAGACAUUUCUGCUAAUACCGCAUAAGCACACACUGCCGCAUUGCAGAGGGUUAAAAGAGAAUCGCUAUGAGAUGGACCCGCGUCUGAUUAGCCAGUUGGCAGGGUAAGAGCCUACCAAAGCGACGAUCAGUAGCCGAUCUGAGAGGAGGAACGGCCACGUUGGGAAUGAGACACGGACCAAACUCCUACGGGAGGCAGCAGUGGGGGAUAUUGCACAAUGGGGGGAAACCUGAUGCAGCGACGCCGCGUGAGUGAAGAAGUAUUUCGGUAUGUAAAGCUCUAUCAGAAGGGAAGAUAAUGACAGUACCUGAAUAAGAAGCCCCGGCUAACUACGUG